Non-coding RNA from Schistocerca americana (American grasshopper), 106 nucleotides. Lineage: Eukaryota; Metazoa; Arthropoda; Insecta; Orthoptera; Acrididae. The record is from the annotation of a RefSeq genome assembly.
GCCGAAAUAGCUCAGUAGAGGAAAAAAAAAAAAAAAAAAAAAAAAAAGUUGGGAGAGCGUUAGACUGAAGAUCUAAAGGUCCCUGGUUCGAUCCCGGGUUUCGGCA